Chroicocephalus ridibundus (black-headed gull) is the source of this 1731-nucleotide long non-coding RNA. RefSeq lists it as uncharacterized. The transcript has 5 exons. The record is from RefSeq and is a predicted model, not a curated record. NCBI's taxonomy places the organism in Eukaryota, Metazoa, Chordata, Aves, Charadriiformes, Laridae.
UUUGUAAUGUUUUCUGGAGGUGUCGUCACCUGCUUAUGACCUUACGUGCCUGUCUGCUUUCCGGGUGUCUGGAAGCUCCAUGUGUAGCUCUUCAGGCCAGAGCUAAACAUCUCAGAGGAAGCUCAGAAGCCCAACUGCGGCUGCCUGGAGAGAUCUGAGUUCAGAAGGGAAGCGCUUGCUAACAUGCCGAUCAGCUGCUGGGUGAAUACUGUGAGACUUCCUGGCUGGUUCCUGACUUUUGCAGGAUAAAUCUACACUGAGUUGCAACGGUCUUUCCUCCAGAAAAAAUGAACAUCUGAAUCUAAAGAAACGCCAAAACUCAUGAAGGCAACAUCAACUUUGGGGCCUCGCCGACCGGCAUUGUCAGAAGCAUUGCCUUGUAUACCUCAGCAAGCUGCGUUCCCGGAGAGUCAUCCAGCGGGACAGAGCGCUUCAUCUCGUUGCUGUCUGCGAGGCAUGAGGAAAGCUGAGAAGAAAAUGGCCUAUAGACCUAGAUACACAUAACAGCCCAUUUGCAGAGCAAUCUCCUUCAACCCGGAGGGAUGCCUCGUGGAAUCACACAGCCAAAGUGAGAUGUUGUGAGACUAAAGUGGACAAGGAAAUCAUAGGAGCAGCUUUCCUUUAUGCAAGCACCGUGUCAGUCCACCGGUAUGUGAGCAGAUAUUGGAUGGGUAAAGCCUGUCCCUGGCAUGCUGCCACAGGGAGGUGUUUUCUGGCAUCAACUGCGAGGUACAGGGGGAACCCUAAGGUCUGUUUCCUGAAGCAAUAUGGUAUGUGACAAAGUUAUUGAGGUAUUAACUUCACUAAGAAGUAUUAGUUUCAUUUUGUCGUUCUGGUUAGCAAACCAUGGAGAUACUGCCAUUGCUUCCUUGGCCUUCUGUGCGCCAUUAACAGGAAAUUCAGGUGCUGUGGGCUCUCGUGGCCUCUGCCUGGGAGCUGCUGAGGGAAACCUCUCGGUGCCUCAGGGCCAGAGACCCGUGGGGUCCGUCCCUCCUGCAUCAGAAGUGGUCUGGGCACCUCUUUGUAGUGGAGGAACAAGCUGGCGUUGUAGCGUGGAAGAGCAUUUCUUACACGUAGACCCUGAUGGGGAACCCACAGAGAGACAGAGAGAGGAGUCUUUUAUUAAAGCUACUGUUACUUGAUCUAGUUAGAAAACAGGAAACCCGACAAAAAUAGUGAAAUAUGCCGAUUAAAAAGAAAUCUUUAUUUCAAAUCAUUCACCACUUAAGCAGACUGAAUUGAACACUUAAAAAAUAAAUAAAUAAAUUCAAUCCCAGUGUACUGGGCAAUCUGAUAUUCGGUGCUUCAUACGAAGCAACACCAGCCAGGAAACACUUAAGCAUCUGUCUCCUGUUUGGAGUCUGAAUUAAUGUGAUCACUGAGGAAGGGGCCCUGUACUCAUAAACACCUUUGCGCAGAGUACAACAGGGGUCAGACGGCAACCAGAACUUUAAUGCAGCUAAAAAUGGAGUACGGAAUAAUAGAAAAAGCAGCAGAAUGCUAUUUUAUAAAUCAGCGCUCCUUCAUCUUGAAUAGCGUGUUCUGCCGGCUGCGUCUCAAAGAUGUGAAUGGCAGAAACAGGUCUUCAGAGAAUGGAGAUGAAAUGAUUGGUGUCAUAGAAAAACUUUCAUAGGGAGAGAACAUGAAAUGACAGUACCCAUUUACCAUGGAUGAGAUAAAUCAGACAGAAUAAGCUCCUGUUAGACAAAAUAAUUAAUGGCCUACUUGUGC